RNAcentral lists this ribosomal RNA (449 nucleotides) under uncultured prokaryote. Its description in RNAcentral is "bacterial SSU rRNA". It matches the Rfam family "Bacterial small subunit ribosomal RNA", at positions 12 to 448 of the family's 1533-position model. The record is from RNAcentral.
UUUGAUCCGGCUCAGAACGAACGUUGGCGGCGUGCUUAACACAUGCAAGUCGAACGAGAAAGUUCUCUUCGGAGAACGAGUAAAGUGGCGCACGGGUGAGUAACGCGAAGUAAUCNACCCNUGCAUUUGGGAUAACUACGGGAAGCUGUAGCUAAUACCGGAUACGUUCAUAGAGUUACGACUCUAUGAAGAAAGAUGACCUCUUCUUGAAAGUAUCGUGCAGGGAGGAGCUUGCGUACCAUUAGCUAGUUGGUAGGGUAAUGGCCUACCAAGGCGACGAUGGUUAGCGGGUCUGAGAGGAUGAUCCGCCACACUGGAACUGAAACACGGUCCAGACUCCUACGGGAGGCAGCAGUGAGGAAUAUUGCGCAACGGGGGAAACCCUGACGCAGCGACGCCGCGUGGAUGAUGAAGGCCUUCGGGUCGUAAAAUCCUGGCAGAUGGGNAGA